CAAAUUCUAUCCCAGUAUUUUCUUAGUCUGCAUGGAUUUUAUAUGGUGGUGGUGAUAUAAUUUAAAAACAACUUAAGUUUUAAUAAUCUGCAGGUACUCUCAAAGAGCAGUAUUUUGUACUAAGUGGAUCUGUGAUAUGAUAAAUAUGUGAGUAUAAUAUUCAGCUUUAUUUUUUCAUUAACUUGUUUUUAAAGAACUCACUUAAUAUAGGCUGAUGAAGUUAUUAAAAUAGCUUUAAAACAACUUUUAACAUCAUAUUUAGGCUUAUUAUUUUCUGAGUAUCAUUAGAACUCCAAUUUGAAUAAAUAUUCUGAUACUCUAAAUAGAUUUCACAGUUGGGGGGUCCUUGCCCUUGACCAUUUCUGUGUUAAAAUCUUAAAACAAUAGUGAGCUAAUUGGCAUCAUAUGGAUAACUUAAAAAUAAGCAACCUGCUUAUUUUAGGAGUGAACUUACGCUCAUCCUUCCAGUUCAUGGUAUAUUUAUCCCGCAAGGUAUAGUUCAGGAAGACAUUGUACUACAGGAAGACAUUGUAAAAUGACCCUGUAGGGGCUCAUAGUUCAGGAGCUGCUGUUCUAAGACUGUUACAUGUUCUAGCUUAAUGGUGCCUCCUAACAACCCUAAGAGGUAGGUUGCCCAUCUUGAAGCACAGAUGAGGACACUGAGGCAUAGAGAGUCACUUGCUUAAGGUCAAAGAGAGACAUAAUCUCUUUUGUAGAGAGCAGCACAUCUCUACACUUCCUUGGAGUUUUGAAAGGUUUUCUUUACAUAGAGUUCUUAGGCUGACAGUUAUAAUUUCCCACUAUUAAGUGUAUGUGAAACGUGGCCUCCAGGAGGCCUAUCAGGAAAGGAUGCAGUUAUUGUCCUCCAGAGAUUUUGCAGUUCAGUAGGAGGAGUAGACGCAUCGGUGAGUAAGUGCAGAGAUGUGUUGAGAUGGCGAGAAGUGGGCUGGGGUUCAGUGAGGGCCUGGGGGGCUGUCAAGUAUCUGUAUCCUUGGCCAGGAAAGGAGCUCAGGGAAGACUUAGAGAGAUGACAUGAGCACUGCAGGCAAGGGAGCAGCGCUGGCCAAUGCCUGGAGGAGUGUGCAAACACGCAUGUGCCUGGGAGCUCAGGCAGCUGUGCGAUGACAGCAGAACCUCCUGACCGUCCCCUUUGAAGGCAUGCACACGGUAUGCUGCGGGCGGUGUGCCACCCACUGCAGGGAGUUGAGUGAUGGGUCAGGAUCCCCAGUGCUGUCCAGCUGCCUGGAUGAAGAACCCCAGGGCCUUGGCACACCAAUAGCCCAGUCAAAGCCAGAUCACCAGGCAGGAAUAGUUGAAGUGGGAGAGACAGGCAAAGGCCAUCUUGUAGAUUUGUAGAGGGCCUGUGCCACGCUGAGACAUUUGGGCUUUGUCUUGAGGUCAGGCCACACUGCUGAGGCUCUGCAGCUGGGAGGAGGUACCUCAGCUUGGCUUCUGGGAAGACUGUGGUGGUGCUCAGGAAAGGUGGGAGGUAGGUGAGGUCAGACAUACAGGCCAGUGGGGGACCUUG
This 1528-nucleotide long non-coding RNA is filed under the name Marmota monax (woodchuck). Lineage: Eukaryota; Metazoa; Chordata; Mammalia; Rodentia; Sciuridae. The record is from RNAcentral.